Molecule: transfer RNA, 83 nt
Filed under: Planctomycetaceae bacterium
Lineage: Bacteria; Pseudomonadati; Planctomycetota; Planctomycetia; Planctomycetales; Planctomycetaceae
Also listed under: 1 other name
Description: tRNA-Leu
Rfam family: tRNA
About the family: Transfer RNA (tRNA) molecules are approximately 80 nucleotides in length. Their secondary structure includes four short double-helical elements and three loops (D, anti-codon, and T loops).
Source: RNAcentral
CGCGAAGUGGUGGAAUAGGUAGACACGCGACGCUCAGAACGUCGUGCCCACGAGGCGUAGGAGUUCGACUCUCCUCUUCGCGA